AACGCACGAGACCUGCGGACCUGCGGAAGGAUCAUUAGUGAACGCCCUCACGGGCUUAUAACUAUUCCAAACCUCUGUGAACCGUGCCCCUCGGGGCUAUUUUACAAACAUGGUGUAAUGAACGUCAUAUAUCAUAACAAAACAAAACUUUCAACAAUGGAUCUCU
RNAcentral lists this unclassified non-coding RNA (166 nucleotides) under soil metagenome. Its description in RNAcentral is "partial contains 5.8S ribosomal RNA, internal transcribed spacer 2, and large subunit ribosomal RNA". The record is from RNAcentral.